RNAcentral lists this ribosomal RNA (332 nucleotides) under Ligidium lapetum. RNAcentral describes it as "bacterial SSU rRNA". It matches the Rfam family "Eukaryotic small subunit ribosomal RNA", at positions 1051 to 1374 of the family's 1831-position model. Lineage: Eukaryota; Metazoa; Arthropoda; Malacostraca; Isopoda; Ligiidae. The record is from RNAcentral.
UAGCUAACUAGCGAUCNGUCGGAAGUCAUUCCACGACUCGACAGGCAGCUACCCGCGAACCAAAGUACUUUGAUUCCGGGGGAAGGUAUGGUUGCAAAGACUGGAAACUUAAAGGAAUUAGACGGAAGGGCGACCACCAGGAGUGGAGCCUGCGGCUUAAUUUGACUCAACACGGGGAACCUCACCAGGCCCGGACACCGGAAGKAUUGACAGAUUGAGAGCUCUUUCUCGAUUUCGGGUGGGUGGUGGUGCAUGGCCGUUCUUAGUUGGUGGAGUGAUUUGUCUGGUUGAUUCCGAUAACGAACGAGACUCAGACCAAGUCUGCUACCGUA